UUUAACAAACCCUAAGACAUUCUUGUGAGAUCGGCAGCGCCGUUCUGUGUUCUCACAUCCAUUGCCAUAUCUUUCAUGUAAGUUGUGAGAUUGGGUUGCGGAAGCUUUUUCAUGAUGGAAAUAGUUGGCAAUAAUUGAUCAUCCAACAACUGUGAUUUCUUUGAUUAAAGACUUCGAUACCUACUAUUAGAUUUACGGAGCCUGCUACACAUUGGCCCAGUCCAAAUAGAAUUCACGCGCAUGAAAAGAGAUAACAUGGCGCGUCAAAAUCACGCGCUCAACACUCAAACGGUUAGGCAGACUCUUCCACUUCUUCCACUUCUUCCACUUCUCAAAGCGCUUUGAAAACAAGGAAGCCCUCUCAUUUUCGAGCGAAAAUUAAAGUUCAAAAUAUACAAAUCGUUAUUCGAAACCUCCAUCAAAACACCAUCAAACUCUCCGUGAAGAAUCUGAAGAGAAAACAAAGCAACAAUACUCAACAUAAGUUCAUUAAGAUUCUUAGAAAAUGGCAGCAAGAAACCAAACAAAAGACCUUAAGUGUGCCACACAUCUCCUGAGUGAUAAGUUCAGAAACAUGACUGAGGAGAAGAAGGUGAUUGUGAGGGAUCUCGGAUUCGGUGGGUUGAUGCACAUCCCACCACUAAGGGUGAAUCACCAACUCUUAAGGGAGCUGGCAAACAACUUCAAACUUGGGGAGAACAGACUGAAGACAGGAUAUGGUUCUUUCCAAAUAACACAAAAAAAAAUAGGUCAUGCGCUUGGCAUCAAUGCAACAGGAGAUCUAUUUUCUGAGAAAGUUGAGUAUAAGAAACUUUCUGAUGAUGACAAAAUAAUUUAUAGAAGAUUCUAGGGUAAGACCCUCAAAAGUCUUACCGAUGAAAUAAUGGAAAUCGGCGUUGGCAACGAAGAGGAACGCCUGAUGUUCAAGAGGAUAUUCAUCCUCUACAUACAGAUGGCGUUCCUUUUGCCAACGACGAUAAACAAAAUAUCGCCCGUGCACCUGGCCCCAAUUUUUAAGAUGGACGGCAUAUCGGAGAGAAACUGGAGGGGGCAUGUUUUGACCUUCAUGGUCAAGGGCAUCACAGACUACCAGAAGAAGAUGAAAAAGACAAUUAAUGGCUGCCUUUUCGCCCUGAUGAUAAUCUACUUUCAUCUUUCAAAAAAUAAAGGCAAGAACAGGGCUGAAAGACCACCAAAGCCCUGAAUUGCCAACUGGACUAAGGAGCAGUUGGUGGAAAGAAUGACUGCAGAAAGAGAGGAAAUUUUGGGGAUUGUGAAGAUGGUAGAGAUAAGAGAAAAAAUGAAAAAAAAAAGAAAAAAAAAGAAAAAAACAAGAAAUCAGAAAAACAAAAAAAGGAACGCGAGUCCAACAUCGUCUUUGGAGAUAGAAACUACUGAAAGUGACACUUCUACCUCUGAGUCUGAGGCUCAAGAAGACUCAGAGGAUUCAGGAAGAAAACACCCCAGCAAAAAGGGGAAAAAAAUGGACUCCAAAAAAAGAAAGCAGAGGCAAGAGGAGUCAGAUUCUGAUUCAGAAUCUGAAUCUGAACCAAGUGAUGAGAGCGAAGAAUCAUCACCUGCGGAGAAGGAGAAGAAAAAGAAAAAAACAAAAAAAACACCAAAAAAAACACAACAAAAAAAGAAAAAAGUUAUUGUGGAGGAUUCACCUCCUGAAGAAGAUCAAUACUUUGACGGGUUGAGUCCGACUAAUUCGAAUAUGAUGGUUGUGAGGGAACAAACACCGUCGGAAGCGCUUGCAGUAGUCCCGAUCCAGGUUUUUGUGCCGGCAUCCCAAACAACUACUGAGACAGAUUUUGAACCAACCCCUAUGCUACGGAUUGAAGGGACUACAGAAAUAUAAGAAAUAGUAUUGGGUGUAUAUUUGUUUAGAGUUUGGGUGUAUAUUUGCUAACAGUUUGGGUGUAUAUUGUUCCUGAUUAAUUUUUUUUACGCCAUGAUUAAUUUUGUGUAACUGUGCAGCACUCCUGAACCCCCCAAACAACUUCAAGAAACCACACCCACGCUUCCCCCAGCUCCAACUAAAAUUCAUCCAGCCGCAGAAGACGCUGCUGCCCUGUUGAUGAUGGCACGGACAGCAACCUAUGUUCCUAAAACAGAUCCAGGGAUGCCAUCAUUCAGCCUUGGAUUGACUGAUUCAAGCCAGGAGGGGCGUCAACGCAGGAGACAGAAAGGAAAAAAUCUCCAGAAACUGCAAAUUUGCUAGAACAAUUAGACAAUUUGGUCCAAAAAUUAGCAAGCAGUGUGGCGAAGGGAAAAAAAUGAAAGUCCACAAAUUCAGAGGGAGACUGGGGGAGAAAGUUCUGCAAAGUUUGAAACUCCUGGGGGAAUAAAUCAAAUUCCAGAU
Molecule: RNA transcript, 2365 nt
Organism: Arachis stenosperma
Lineage: Eukaryota; Viridiplantae; Streptophyta; Magnoliopsida; Fabales; Fabaceae
Exons: 12
Source: RefSeq, a predicted model, not a curated record